RNAcentral lists this unclassified non-coding RNA (448 nucleotides) under Hevea brasiliensis (rubber tree). The record is from RNAcentral. Lineage: Eukaryota; Viridiplantae; Streptophyta; Magnoliopsida; Malpighiales; Euphorbiaceae.
UUUCUUUGUUGAUUAAAGUUCACCCAUGACCUUCUUCAAACACAAACCUACAGCUCCAUUUUACUGCUUUUUCUUCUUAUUCUUCUAUGCACUCCUCAAGAUUAUCCUUCCACAACCACCUGUCUGGCAGUCUAAGCAAUUCAACCCUAACUAAUUCUUUCCUAAUUACUCUUUUAAUUACUUCCAUUGGUUUCAAGCCUCAUCACUAAGGAAUACCUGUCCACAUUUCCACUUCUUUUCAUGUUUUUCAACUUAAAACAAAAUACCCAUUUUCAAUUUUUUUUUCCUUUUUCUGAUAUAUAUUAAGAUCGGAUGAUGUUUUAAAUUGUCUUGCUUUUCACUGAAUAAUUAACAGGCUCACCAUUGCUUUUCACUCAAGCCUACACCUAUUUUUUUGGCUGUGGGCAUUGGUGAGAUGGCCUGUGGAGAGAGAGAGAGAGAGAGGAGU